RNAcentral lists this transfer RNA (73 nucleotides) under Drosophila yakuba. RNAcentral's name for it is "tRNA-Ala". The record is from RNAcentral. Lineage: Eukaryota; Metazoa; Arthropoda; Insecta; Diptera; Drosophilidae.
AGGGAUUUUUCUCAGAUGGUAGAGCGCUCGCUUAGCAUGUGAGACCUUCAGGGAUCGAUGCCCCGCAUCUCCA